RNAcentral lists this ribosomal RNA (460 nucleotides) under uncultured bacterium. Its description in RNAcentral is "partial 16S ribosomal RNA". It matches the Rfam family "Bacterial small subunit ribosomal RNA", at positions 338 to 795 of the family's 1533-position model. The record is from RNAcentral.
CCUACGGGAGGCAGCAGUGAGGAAUAUUGGUCAAUGGCCGGAAGGCUGAACCAGCCAUGCCGCGUGAAGGUCAGUGCCCUAUGGGCGUUAAACUUCUUUUGUCUGGGAGCAAUAAUGUUCACGUGUUGCCAUACGACAUUACCGUACGAAUCAGCAUCGGCUAACUCCGUGCCAGCAGCCGCGGUAAUACUGGGGAGUCAAGCGUUAUCCGGAUUUAUUGGGUUUAAAGGGUGCGUAGGCUGGGAGGUAAGUCCUCGUGGAAAUGCCCCCGCUCAACGGGGGGAAGUGCCAUUGAUACUGCCUGGCUGGAAUGCGGAUGCCGUGGGAGGAAUGUGUGGUGUAGCGGUGAAAUGAAUAGAUAUCACACAGAACACCGAUUGCGAAGGCAUCUCACGAAUCCGCGAUUGACGCUGAUGCACGAAAGCGUGGGUAUCAAACAGGAUUAGAUACCCUUGUAGUC